Molecule: transfer RNA, 29 nt
Filed under: Mimosa albida
Lineage: Eukaryota; Viridiplantae; Streptophyta; Magnoliopsida; Fabales; Fabaceae
Description: partial tRNA-Leu
Source: RNAcentral
AUACCGACAACAAUGAAAUUUAUAGUAAG